Molecule: long non-coding RNA, 2095 nt
Organism: Balaenoptera ricei (Rice's whale)
Lineage: Eukaryota; Metazoa; Chordata; Mammalia; Artiodactyla; Balaenopteridae
Exons: 6
Source: RefSeq, a predicted model, not a curated record
CGUUCUAUUUGUUCUACAGGUUGUUGUAUCGUCUGCAGGUUCUUGGUUCCCGCACCGUCCCCGGGACUCGGAGUUGCCGGCCGCGGGUAGCGUAGGGGACAAGAGAUGCGUAGUUACUACCCCCGGCAGGAUGUGGGGAGAUGCCUCUCUCCCACGUUUCCCUCACCCACUCCCAGCCCAGCUUUGUGCUUUGACUUAACCUAAAUGAUGAGAUCGAUUAGGAAAGGAAUUGGAGACAAAACAAGACACUAGCGUUUUCUAAGGUGUCCACAGGGUCGGUUUCUCUGAGCCCUCUCCUGGGCUUGCCUACGGCUGACUUCUCACUGUGGCCUGUGCACUCCUGGUGUCUCUUUCCUCUUCUUAUAAGGACACCAGUCCUAUCCUUGAGGACCCCACCCUUAUGACCUUAUUUAACCUUAGUCACCUCCUUAAGUGCUCUGUCUCCAAAUACAGUCACACUGGGGGUUAGGGCUUCCAGUGCAUGGAUUUUGCGAGGGGCACACAAUUCAGUCCAGAACAGUUGGGAACUAUCUUGUCACUCUCUGUAUUUUCCCAUAGCACCUAGCACAGCGCCUUGCAAAAUGGUAAAUCUAGAUUUUUGUUAACAAAGUGAUAGAAGACCUGAUGGGAACUGGGAGAGGAGUUAUGACGUCAUUUAAAUCUAUUGUCUUAGCUCAUCUUUGUUUAUAAAAUUUCUGAGCUCUAUUCUGGAAGGUCCUAGUUCCUGCUUGGAACUUCAAAGUCUCCAGGACAAUGGCACAGAGGUGUCACAGUGGAUGUGGGAUCAUUGGAUGAUCACAGCAUGGCUUGGGGGCCUCCGUGGCCAUUCAUCUUGGUGAGCAGAGGUUGCGUUGCCACUUUGAACGAUUGGACUAGAACAUCUGUCUUGGCAUCCUGUCCCCUUCAGAACCCACGCUGGAUUCUUUUUGCUAAGAAAUGUUGGCAGAAAGAGAAGCCACCUUGAUAAAAGCUACAGUUGAGUGUGAACUUGCACAAGAUCUGGACCCACACAGGUGUUGUCAAAGGCUCAUAUGGCUAGUGGCCGCCAUAUUGAAGAGUGCAGCUCUUUUCUCCUCCUUGGGACAGAUGUGGCUGAAGAAAAGAGACUGAGGAGAUGUGCAGACACUCAAAGUGAAAUGUUAAGCUGACUCGUUACCCAAGGAGAGCACGUUUCUGUAGUUGUCCAGCAUCACGUCUCUGUAGAGGGCCUUCUGAGGCCAGUGCAGUGCGUCCCACUCUUCCCUGGUGAAGUACACAGCCACGUCCUCAAAGGCCAGCAACCCCUGGAAACACAGCGACUAACUGCAGCUGCGAUUCUUACAAUAACUUCGUGAGCUACAGUAUUACUAUUACAGAUGGUCAACACUGGAGGCUUCUCUGGCCGUUGGGUCUCUGCCGCAGUCACUCAGCUCUGCUCUGGUAGCACAGACGCAGCACAGACAACAGGAGAGCAAACGGGUGUGGCUGUGACCCAAUAAAACUACUCCCGGCUCCAGGAAACAUUUACUGAGCACCAAGAAGUCGCCGGCCUCCGGGCCACACGCCAGUGACAGUGAACGCACAGAGGUGACAGCUCCUGCUGGGCCCACAGGACCAGCUCCUCGGGCUGCGCACUGCUCGACUCUAGGGGACACUUCACAUGGCAGCUGUGACAACGGGGCCCCCAGAGCUGCUAAGGGCACAGCCUGUGCGACCCACGGAGCCCCAGCCCCGCUUCAGGGAGUGAAGGGUCCAGUGGGGAAGCGGGAGAAGUCAACACGGUGACGAUCUGGGGGUCCACGGGGGGCGACGGGGGCUGUGAGGACAGGGGCUCACCCCACCCCCUCCUCUCAGGAGGCACUGCCAGUCACAUCCCAGAAAACAGCCCCCGGGGCACAUGGCCCUCACCUCCUCCCGCCUCCCCACCGGCUCCCAGACACUCCCUGCAUCGGGCCUCACCCCUCCUCUCCUCUCCCUCCUGGUGACCCCUCCUCCUCGGGCCGAUUCCAUUCUCUCCUGUCUCCUCCAGGGUCUUAAUCCAAUGACCACGACUCUUCUGUCUUUGCCCUUUCCCCCCUUGUGAUACUCUGAUUUAAAUAAGAAAUAUAUAUUUGGU